UUCUUUCUCUUCUCUUUUAUGGCCAACCCCCACUCCACCCUUUUUUUCCCCUUUUUAUUCUCUUUUCCAGCCAAACCCAGCUUUCUUCUCUUUUCCGGCCAGCCCAACAAACCAAUGGCCACCCCCAGCUCCUCCGACCACCGAUCGAAACCCCCGCCCCCCAGCCACCAGCCUCCCGAUCCCCUCUGUCUCCUUUCUUUUUCCUCCCCAGUUUUACAUCCCUUCCCUAUCUUUUAUCCCAGCCCGAGCCCACUCCUCUGUCCCUUCCCUUUCCUUUUCCCAGCCCCUCCCCCUCCCCCUCCAACCCAUCCAUUUCUUCGAUUUUCAAUCGCUCACCCUCCCCACCCAUUUCGUUUCCCUUCUUUUAAGUUCCCCACUGAUUAAAAUCUCCCCUCAUUUCCCUAUUAUUUUCCCUUUCUCCCUCCAUUUUUUUUUACACAAACGGUCACCUCUCCAAUACCGAACGCCAACGCACAUUGUCGCACACUACUUUCGCCACCGCACGCACUGAAUUAUGGUAGGGUAACAUCAAGAUCGUCUAGCAAAUGAACUAAUGAGGGAAGCUAACACUUUGACUACAAAUCCCUCGAUAGAGGAUCCAAUUCUAUAACAAAACGAAAACGUGGGUGAGGGCACAGUCAAAACAUUAAUUUGGAUGUAUAUGUACAUCGACAUGGGCAGAUCCCAAUUACCAUUUCUGAGGAUGUUGGAAAACCAGUAAGCGUCUUUGCUACAAAGUUUAGCAAUGCCAUUGGGACCACGACCCGAGACACAAUUUCAUUGCGUUGUUCUAAGUGGAAGGAUGUACCUAGUGAUGUAUUACCACUAUAAAGACUCGUUUAUAGGUAAUUUUUAUGCUUUUAUUGUAUUAAUCUUGUUGGGAAUGAUGCCCUAAACUCU
This is a long non-coding RNA of Benincasa hispida (wax gourd), 900 nucleotides long. RefSeq lists it as uncharacterized. The record is from RefSeq and is a predicted model, not a curated record. Lineage: Eukaryota; Viridiplantae; Streptophyta; Magnoliopsida; Cucurbitales; Cucurbitaceae.